GAUGAACGCUGACGGCGUGCCUAAUACAUGCAAGUCGAGCGAACGGACGAGAAGCUUGCUUCUCUGAUGUUAGCGGCGGACGGGUGAGUAACACGUGGAUAACCUACCUAUAAGACUGGGAUAACUUCGGGAAACCGGAGCUAAUACCGGAUAAUAUUUUGAACCGCAUGGUUCAAAAGUGAAAGACGGUCUUGCUGUCACUUAUAGAUGGAUCCGCGCUGCAUUAGCUAGUUGGUAAGGUAACGGCUUACCAAGGCAACGAUGCAUAGCCGACCUGAGAGGGUGAUCGGCCACACUGGAACUGAGACACGGUCCAGACUCCUACGGGAGGCAGCAGUAGGGAAUCUUCCGCAAUGGGCGAAAGCCUGACGGAGCAACGCCGCGUGAGUGAUGAAGGUCUUCGGAUCGUAAAACCCUGUUAUUAGGGAAGAACAUAUGUGUAAGUAACUGUGCACAUCUUGACGGUACCUAAUCAGAAAGCCACGGCUAACUACGUG
This 497-nucleotide ribosomal RNA is filed under the name uncultured bacterium. RNAcentral's name for it is "partial 16S ribosomal RNA". It matches the Rfam family "Bacterial small subunit ribosomal RNA", at positions 28 to 507 of the family's 1533-position model. The record is from RNAcentral.